RNAcentral lists this unclassified non-coding RNA (487 nucleotides) under Hevea brasiliensis (rubber tree). The record is from RNAcentral. Lineage: Eukaryota; Viridiplantae; Streptophyta; Magnoliopsida; Malpighiales; Euphorbiaceae.
GGCAACAGUGGAUAAAGAAGUAAAAUUGAAAUUAUGAAAGAAUAUAAUCCAACUAGGCUAAACGUUGUCAAAAAGUGCAAAAGAAGAACAAAACUGCAAAAUAUAUGACAGUGGCUUUGAAAAGUUUUGCUGAAAUGGUGAAACUAAAUGCAGAGUACAUAAAGUUCAACACAAUUCAAAAAGCCAAACGCAUUUCCUUGCAAAGUAUCUACUCAAUGAUAGACUGAAUAACACCAGCUCCAACCGUCUUCCCUCCUUCUCUGAUAGCAAAUCUCAUCCCUUGUUCACAAGCCACAGGCACAAUAAGCUCCACAACCAUCUUCACACGAUCACCGGGCAUAACCAUCUUUGACUCCUCAUCCUUAUCAUUCAUAAUGGAGGAGACCCUACCAGUCACAUCAGUGGUCCUCAUGUAAAAUUGAGGCCUAUAACCAGCGAAAAAAGGUGAAUGCCUACCACCCUCUUCCUUCUUCAACACAUAAACAAU